Molecule: long non-coding RNA, 564 nt
Organism: Micropterus salmoides (largemouth bass)
Lineage: Eukaryota; Metazoa; Chordata; Actinopteri; Centrarchiformes; Centrarchidae
Exons: 2
Source: RefSeq, a predicted model, not a curated record
AUCAAACAUGUCGCUAAUCUUCCUGACUUUUCAGGGUCAAAGGUCAAACGCUAGAAUUAAAAUUAUUUACAAAAGCAUGAUAAUCAAUAAAUAACAGCCUGUUUCACCAUUAAGCACAACAGGACACAAGCAAAGCGUCAUGAUAACAGAAGGAGAGGACGCACGUACAAACACAGUGAACCUUCAUCGUGACUGUCAGAGGAAAAAGUCAUGUGUAUUUUGUACAUAUCUAAAUGACGAAGACUUAAAGAGCACCUUGGAAGGUAAAUGACUGCGCCGCUCUCACGUGUCAGGCGGCAGCAGAAGAAGAAGCAGCAGCAUAUCUGAGGGGUUUUUUUCUGCUCUUGCCAAACAUGAACUUGGAGAGGAAUCAGGGUUCUGCAAUUUCGUGUCGAAAGGCCCGACACUAUCACCAGGACGAAGGUUAAUGAGGGGGAAAGAUUCAACGAUUCUGAAUUCACCGCGCCUUUGACUGACAUCUCACUGUGUCUCUGUGGCAACGACAGCUGAGGCUCACAGUGUUCAGAAACUAUAUUAAAUAAUAAAAACCGUAAAUGAAACAUA